CCUACGGGAGGCAGCAGUGAGGAAUAUUGGUCAAUGGACGAGAGUCUGAACCAGCCAAGUAGCGUGAAGGAUGACUGCCCUAUGGGUUGUAAACUUCUUUUAUAAAGGAAUAAAACGAGGCACGUGUGCCUUUUUGCAUGUACUUUAUGAUUAAGGAUCGGCUAACUCCGUGCCAGCAGCCGCGGUAAUACGGAGGAUCCGAGCGUUAUCCGGAUUUAUUGGGUUUAAAGGGAGCGUAGAUGGGUUGUAAGGUCAGUUGUGAAAGUUUGCGGCUCAACCGUAAAAGUGCAAUUGAUACUGGAAGUCUUGAGUACAGAUGAGGUAGGCGGAAUGCGUGGUGUAGCGGUGAAAUGCUUAGAUAUCACGAAGAACCCCGAUUGCGAAGGCAGCUUACUAAACUGUGACUGACAUUGAUGCUCGAAAGUGUGGGUAUCAAACAGGAUUAGAUACCCCAGUAGUC
RNAcentral lists this ribosomal RNA (460 nucleotides) under uncultured bacterium. Its description in RNAcentral is "partial 16S ribosomal RNA". It matches the Rfam family "Bacterial small subunit ribosomal RNA", at positions 338 to 795 of the family's 1533-position model. The record is from RNAcentral.